GACGAACGCUGGCGGCGUGCCUAAUACAUGCAAGUCGAGCGCAGGAAACUGACGGAACUCUUCGGAGGGAAGGCAGUGGAAUGAGCGGCGGACGGGUGAGUAACACGUAAGGAACCUGCCUCAAGGAUUGGGAUAACUCCGAGAAAUCGGAGCUAAUACCGGAUAGUUCAUCGGACCGCAUGGUCCGUUGAUGAAAGGCGCUUCGGCGUCACCUUGAGAUGGCCUUGCGGUGCAUUAGCUAGUUGGUGGGGUAACGGCCCACCAAGGCGACGAUGCAUAGCCGACCUGAGAGGGUGAUCGGCCACACUGGGACUGAGACACGGACCAGACUCCUACGGGAGGCAGCAGUAGGGAAUCUUCCACAAUGGACGAAAGUCUGAUGGAGCAACGCCGCGUGGGUGAUGAAGGUUUUCGGAUCGUAAAACUCUGUUGUAAGGGAAGAACACGUACGAGAGGGAAUGCUCGUACCUUGACGGUACCUUACGAGAAAGCCACGGCUAACUACGUGCCAGCAGCCGCCGUAA
RNAcentral lists this ribosomal RNA (524 nucleotides) under uncultured bacterium. Its description in RNAcentral is "partial 16S ribosomal RNA". It matches the Rfam family "Bacterial small subunit ribosomal RNA", at positions 28 to 523 of the family's 1533-position model. The record is from RNAcentral.